UUUUGAUAACACCCGCUACUUGUUUUUAUUCCUUUCCCUCUCAAUUCCUAGCCUACACUCUCUAAAUCUCACACAACCACUCCUCCACAACCCUCUCCCCUAAUGAUCGAACAGCCGGCCACCGCUAGUGGUGGCGGCGCACGGCAAGUGAGAGAGAGAAAGAGAGCCGCAAGUGAGAGAGAGACGCGGAGAGAGAGUCGGGGAGAAAGAUUGGAAGGCGACGGUGGCUCCGGCAACGACGGUUUUUAGUGCGGUCUCGGGCCUCGAGUCUGGAUUUCCGGUGUUGGUUUCAGUUCGGGUUCGGGUCACGUUCAGUUCAGUAUUGCUUGGCGUCGUUCAUGGUUCCGGUUUUCGAUUCAAGAUUUGAUUCGGGUUCGGGUGCUACGGGUCAGACUCGAGCUUCGGUUCAGCAGGUUCGGGUCCGGUUCAGUCUACGUCGAGUCAACGGGACAGUCGGUUCGGAUUAGAGACGGUUAACUAGUCGGGCCAACCCGGUCAGAUGUCACCGAAGCCGUACGGAGAUCACCACGGGAACCCUCUCAUCAUCAUUCGGAUAAACCGUUCGUUCGCUCUUUUGGAUUUUUCUCCAUCUUUACUCGUGCGAUAAUUCAAGAAAUCUUCGUACGCAACCAAUGUGAGUAUACUCGAUCCCUUUUUGUUUUAAACACUUUUGGGAUGCAACAUGUAUUCUAUAUCAAAAACACUUGACACUUGACACUUGAAACUUAUUUGAAACAUACUCUAUCCAUUCAAACAUGAAACAUGAAACUUGUGAUACUUGAGACUUUUAUGCUAUGUGAACGUUUAAUCCCUGUGUGUAGUUCCGCCUUAACAAUGGUAGCGCUAUAGGGGUAAUGCACCUCCCCGUUAGUCUUUGGGGUAUUGUUAGGAUGAGACAUAUAACCUCCCGUUAAACUUUGGGAAAGGCACUUAACGCAUUGGAAACUUGGGCUAUCACUUGGACUGCGUUAGCUAGCAUGGUGAAACUUGUUAUAUGUUUUCGUGUUGGAUAUGAGUUUUUAUCCUAUUAUGCUGUGUAACCAAACUUGUAUACUCGCCUUUGCUUUUGCAUUGAAUUUUAUUUUAAUACAUGUUGCAGGUUAAUUAUUGAGAUGAUAUUCAAGACGAAACAAGAUUUAGGGUGGACUAGACACACACCUAGACUAAUCUAUCUUUUGUUGUUAUGUUACAAUUUGAAACAAUGUUGUUAUUUCUUUUUGAAUCUUGUAUGACAUCUAGUAUUGCAAUGAAAUUUGAAUUUAAUUAAAUAUUGUCACAUAGUGUUAUGACGUCUCUUGCAAUCUAUACACACUUCGUCUCAUCCCGAUGUUUCCGCCAUCGGUUGGGGUGUGACAGAUUGGUACCAGAGCCAUAACUAUAGGGAAUUAGGAAAAGUAGGAAUGCUUUAACCUAGUCUAUAGUUUUAGAGCUUUAUUUUUGUGUUUUGCUUGAAACUACAUUGCAUGCUACUUUAUUUGUCUUUAUUCAUUCUCUUUUGAUCUUUUAAGCAUACAUGUCACUUAUUUGUUAACACUUGACAUGCUACACUUGUCUUAUUACGUGCUAAUACUUGUUUCCUCAUUCUACCCUUUAUGUGUCAUUCUUAACAUAUUUUUAUGUGUUAAUAAUUGUUUCAUUAUUCCAUUCCUUAUUUGCUAUUCUUGACAUGUUUAUACUUGUUCGUCUAAUCUUUAACAUGUCACACCCCGAAAUUAUCAGAGCAUUGGCGUGACUGGACUGGUAUCUUCAUUGCACAGCGGAAGCAAAAUAAUUUAAGUCUUUUAGAAAUUGAACGCCCACUAAGUACUCGACUCUUCAUGGUCCUCCUAUUCCAACCGUGCCUUGUCUUAGAAAUGCAACCUGAGAAAGAGCAUGCGAAAAAGUCAACAUAAAGUUGAGCGAGUUCAUAGUUUGUUUGUAAAAGAUCUGAAAUAAAUCUUUUGAGUUGUGAAAGGUUUGAAAUAAAUCUUUGGUAACCGGUUUUUGAAAUAGUAUUGAGAAAAUGAAUUUAAAAAUCAUUUUCUUGCCAAGUUAUAUGGAAACGUUGUGUUUGUAACACGUUAUGUUCAUAAAACCAUGUAUU
RNAcentral lists this long non-coding RNA (2083 nucleotides) under Helianthus annuus (common sunflower). Its description in RNAcentral is "hypothetical non coding rna". Lineage: Eukaryota; Viridiplantae; Streptophyta; Magnoliopsida; Asterales; Asteraceae. The record is from RNAcentral.